RNAcentral lists this ribosomal RNA (465 nucleotides) under uncultured bacterium. Its description in RNAcentral is "bacterial SSU rRNA". It matches the Rfam family "Bacterial small subunit ribosomal RNA", at positions 926 to 1391 of the family's 1533-position model. The record is from RNAcentral.
CAAGCGGUGGAGCAUGUGGUUUAAUUCGAUGCAACGCGAAGAACCUUACCUACUCUUGACAUCCAGCGAACUUAGCAGAGAUGCUUUGGUGCCUUCGGGAACGCUGAGACAGGUGCUGCAUGGCUGUCGUCAGCUCGUGUUGUGAAAUGUUGGGUUAAGUCCCGCAACGAGCGCAACCCUUAUCCUUUGUUGCCAGCGAUACGGUCGGGGACUCAAAGGAGACUGCCGGUGAUAAACCGGAGGAAGGUGGGGAUGACGUCAAGUCAUCAUGGCCCUUACGAGUAGGGCUACACACGUGCUACAAUGGCGCAUACAAAGAGAAGCGACCUCGCGAGAGCAAGCGGACCUCAGCAAGUGCGUCGUAGUCCGGAUCGGAGUCUGCAACUCGACUCCGUGAAGUCGGAAUCGCUAGUAAUCGUGGAUCAGAAUGCCACGGUGAAUACGUUCCCGGGCCUUGUACACACC